RNAcentral lists this ribosomal RNA (253 nucleotides) under uncultured prokaryote. RNAcentral's name for it is "partial 16S ribosomal RNA". It matches the Rfam family "Bacterial small subunit ribosomal RNA", at positions 524 to 776 of the family's 1533-position model. The record is from RNAcentral.
UACGUAGGGGGCCAGCGUUGCUCGGAAUUACUGGGCGUAAAGGGUUCGUAGGUGGUGCGGCAAGUUGGAAGUGAAAUCUCUGGGCUUAACCCAGAGGCUGCUUUCAAAACUGCCGCGCUCGAGUGCGAGAGAGGUCAGUGGAAUUGCAGGUGUAGCGGUGAAAUGCGUAGAUAUCGUAAGGAAGACCAGUGGCGAAGGCGAAUCUCUGGACAGUUACUGACACUGAGGCACGAAGGCCAGGGGAGCAAACGGG